CGCGUAGGUGGCUGUUUAAGUCAGAUGUGAAAGUCCACGGCUCAACCAUGGAAGUGCAUUUGAAACUGGACAGCUUGAGUACUGGAGGGGGUAGUGGAAUUCCCGGUGUAGAGGUGAAAUUCGUAGAUAUCGGGAGGAAUACCGGUGGCGAAGGCGACUGCCUGGCCAGAUACUGACACUGAGGUGCGAAAGCGUGGGGAGCAAACA
Molecule: ribosomal RNA, 207 nt
Filed under: uncultured bacterium
Lineage: Bacteria
Description: partial 16S ribosomal RNA
Rfam family: Bacterial small subunit ribosomal RNA
Source: RNAcentral